RNAcentral lists this long non-coding RNA (1197 nucleotides) under Hordeum vulgare. RNAcentral's name for it is "long non-coding RNA (HVUL_LNC008519)". The record is from RNAcentral. Lineage: Eukaryota; Viridiplantae; Streptophyta; Magnoliopsida; Poales; Poaceae.
GUAUAAGAUCAAACUGAUGUGAACCUGAUCAAUUACAGAAAGCACAUGAUGAUCGUGAAUCAAAGAAUGGUCAUACUGAAAGUAUCAAUGCGGCCAAGCAAGGUGGUCCUCAACCAAGUGUACAGCUGAAUCGCGUCACUAAGGGCCUGGUCGGAGGUCCUCCGCUCCGCAAUCCCACUCUUGGACUUGGUGGAGCAACAUUUAAAAAUUGUAGAGCGGGGAAAAAGGUGCUCCGCAGAUCCUCAGAUUUGACAGAGCUGGAGCAUCUCCGAACAGCUCCUAAGAAGGUAUAUAUAUAUAACUAUUCUAACCAUUUCUGUAAUACUCCCUCUGUCCCAAAAUAAGUGUCUUAAUCUUAGUAUAACUUUGUACUAUAGUUAGUACAAAGUUAGGACAAUUAUUUUGGGACGGAGGGAGUAAUAUAUAUAUCUGAUGACAAUGGUUAUAAUAGUUAGUUGGUCUAAUUCCAUGUGCAAUCGUCCAUUUUUGCAUUAAGUGAAAUCUUCCAUGGUUUGUGAUAAUGAAUGUUUCAUUUCUUGAAAACAUAUAGGAUAAAAUGAAAGUCUUGUUAUUUUUUGUUGAACCUGAGAAGCAAAAAUAAAUGUGGCUGAAGGAACUUUAGUGAGUAGAGAUAAAAAAUAUGUGAUUGGAGAAAGCAUGCUUGCAGAUCAAUAUGCAACAAUUUUUGUUUCUGCUGUUUCAAGACUUGGAGAUGAGACACUGGUUAGACCUUAUGACAAGUUCCGAACAGUAUAAGGGAUGCUAUUGGUCAUGUUAUUGCAUGGCCUCUAUCACAGGUAAGUACACUUCCAUAUGAUGACUGAUUAUGCUCCAAUGUACAUACUUCAGGUUUAUUAUUUAGGAAGAAUCUUUGUGUUUUUAGGUGAAAAACCCAAUCCCAACCACUCCUACACAGCCGCAAAACAAGCCACCAAACACUGGUACAACUCUUACAAAUUCAUCAAAGUACAUUUCUUCUCACACUACUCUUAAAACUUACAUACUACUAUUUUCUCUGUUAUCUUCCUUUUUCAGCAUAGCACAAGAUUACAAAAGGAGUGCAUUGCAAGAGCGACAAGCAACUACAGAAGAAUUAGUUUUUAAAUGGACAAAUAUUGUGUAUUAUAUAUAAAGGAUUUCUAGCUUCAUAGGAAAAUUUGGUUGUGGUUGUAUGAUAUUUUCAUAAUUAUUUGCAUC